Astatotilapia calliptera (eastern happy) is the source of this 430-nucleotide long non-coding RNA. Lineage: Eukaryota; Metazoa; Chordata; Actinopteri; Cichliformes; Cichlidae. The record is from Ensembl.
AGCUGUGUCACUGCACCUGAGCCUAAAAGGUAUUCAUGGAUGCAGAUGUCAAUAAAGGCAGCACGAUGACAUAAAAAGGAGCGCAAGUUUGAGCAAGCAUGAACAGAGUUCCUCUUUUAAGUGGCAGCAGGUGAUCCAGGUGAUUGAUAGAUGCAUUUUUUUUCUUUUUCUGCCCGUUCUGUUGGUUUUUGUCUUUUGCCCUUCUCCCCCGCCCCUCUUCUCAGCUGUUUCUCUUUCCCUCUUUCUUUCUCCCCUUCUUUUCCCCAGUCAAGUCUGUCCCGUAUUCAGUAAGUGAAAAUAAAAUAAACAAUAAAAGGUGAAUCAAAUGGACCAUUACGGCAAGGCUGGGAUGGUCAAUUUGGUAAAGUAAAUCCGUUGGGCAUCUUUCUUUGCCUUUAGACAACAAUUCUGAUGGCAAAAGAGCCAAACG